AAAUUGUAAUCUUGACUCAACGACUUAUUUCUAAUAUUGGCUCUCACCUAAAAUGAUUUUUAUAAAAUCAUGCAUCAUUAGGUUUUAAAGAAAUAAGUUGCAUAUUAGCCAAAAUGAUUUUUAAACUCGUCUUGAGAAUUUUGGGUUUAAACAAUCGAUUGUCUAAGACAACAAUCGAUUGUCAAAGUGUUUUUACUUAGCCUCAAAAAUAUUGUCUUGAGACAGAAAGUUUGUUUGAAAUCAUUUUUGA
Molecule: long non-coding RNA, 250 nt
Filed under: Nicotiana benthamiana
Lineage: Eukaryota; Viridiplantae; Streptophyta; Magnoliopsida; Solanales; Solanaceae
Description: long non-coding RNA (NBEN_LNC032596)
Source: RNAcentral